CUACGGGCGGCUGCAGUGAGGAAUUUUGCGCAAUGGGGGAAACCCUGACGCAGCAACGCCGCGUGAGUGAUGAAGGCCUUCGGGUCGUAAAGCUCUGUCAAGUGGGAAGAACCUGAUCCAUACUAAUAUCGUGGAUCACUGACGGUACCACUGAAGGAAGCACCGGCUAACUCCGUGCCAGCAGCCGCGGUAAUAGGGAGGGUGAAGCGUUAUUCGGAAUCACUGGGCGUAAAGGGCGCGCAGGCGGUUUGGUAAGUCAGAUGUGAAAGCCCGGGGCUCAACCCCGGAAGUGCAUUUGAUACUGCCAAACUUGAGUAUGGGAGAGGGAAGUGGAAUUCCUGGUGUAGAGGUGAAAUUCGUAGAUAUCAGGAGGAACACCGGUGGCGAAGGCGACUUCCUGGACCAAUACUGACGCUGAGGCGCGAAGGCGUGGGGAGCAAACAGGAUUAGAUACCCGCGUAGUC
RNAcentral lists this ribosomal RNA (464 nucleotides) under uncultured bacterium. RNAcentral's name for it is "partial 16S ribosomal RNA". It matches the Rfam family "Bacterial small subunit ribosomal RNA", at positions 339 to 795 of the family's 1533-position model. The record is from RNAcentral.